Molecule: ribosomal RNA, 465 nt
Filed under: Vreelandella stevensii
Lineage: Bacteria; Pseudomonadati; Pseudomonadota; Gammaproteobacteria; Oceanospirillales; Halomonadaceae
Description: partial 16S ribosomal RNA
Rfam family: Bacterial small subunit ribosomal RNA
Source: RNAcentral
CCUACGGGGGGCAGCAGUGGGGAAUAUUGGACAAUGGGCGAAAGCCUGAUCCAGCCAUGCCGCGUGUGUGAAGAAGGCCUUCGGGUUGUAAAGCACUUUCAGUGGGGAAGAAAGCCUUGGGGCUAAUACCCUCGAGGAAGGACAUCACCCACAGAAGAAGCACCGGCUAACUCCGUGCCAGCAGCCACGGUAAUACGGAGGGUGCGAGCGUUAAUCGGAAUUACUGGGCGUAAAGCGCGCGUAGGCGGUCUGAUAAGCCGGUUGUGAAAGCCCCGGGCUCAACCUGGGAACGGCAUCCGGAACUGUCAGGCUAGAGUGCAGGAGAGGAAGGUAGAAUUCCUGGUGUAGCAGUGAAAUGCGUAGAGAUCGGGAGGAAUACCAGUGGCGAAGGCGGCCUUCUGGACUGACACUGACGCUGAGGUGCGAAAGCGUGGGUAGCAAACAGGAUUAGAUACCCCAGUAGUC